Molecule: ribosomal RNA, 292 nt
Filed under: uncultured bacterium
Lineage: Bacteria
Description: partial 16S ribosomal RNA
Rfam family: Bacterial small subunit ribosomal RNA
Source: RNAcentral
GUGUCAGCAGCCGCGGUAAUACGGAGGGUGCAAGCGUUAUCCGGAUUCACUGGGUUUAAAGGGUGCGUAGGCGGGUAUGUAAGUCCGUGGUGAAAUCUCCGAGCUUAACUCGGAAACUGCCAUGGGUACUGCGUAUCUUGAAUGUUGUGGAGGUGAGCGGAAUAUGUCAUGUAGCGGUGAAAUGCUUAGAUAUGACAUAGAACACCAAUUGCGAAGGCAGCUCACUACACAAAUAUUGACGCUGAGGCACGAAAGCGUGGGGAUCAAACAGGAUUAGAUACCCUGGUAGUCC